UCAAAAUGGGCAGCUUUUUAUUUGCUUUUCAUUACAACUGAUGCUAUAGUAAAGCCAUAAACUGAUUAAACAGGGGUGUGCAAUAGGAUUUUCACUGUUCUAGACAAGAUUUGUCUGAUGUGCUUCCUGGUCCUGAGGGAGUAACAUAACUCAGGCUUAAGUGGAAUAUUCAGUUUCAUAAACAACUAACUGAAUGAAGUGCAUUUAUCUUUUGUUUGAAACUGAGAAUGCUGGGGGCAGGAGAGGCACAGAGAAGAGAGAGAGGGGAGAAAGAAUUGCUUGAAUUAAGUAUCCUAUUCUAGUUUGUUAAUAUGCUAGAAGAUAAUUCAGACUUUGUUCAUACAAGUAUUUCUGCAAAAUACAGUGAUUUCUAGGAAAGCUAUGAAGUUUAUCACUAAAUAAAAUCUCCCUGAACACAAAUACAGAGAAUGAGCACAGAUCAUUUACAACCUAAAUGUUUCUAUGAUUCUCUGAUCCUAGAAGAUACACCUUUGGUAUCCUUUAUUAGAAAUUUGUCUUUGUUAAAUAACUGACUUGUAUUAGUUGAUUCUGACUCACUUGCAACAAAAUUCUUGCCAUAUAUUUUAUGUUUUCUCUCUUAAGAAUGUGAUUUCUUUCUUCAUAACCUUGAGGGUUUGACCCCAUGCAUUUCUCAGAACAAAUGUUCCAGGUAAGUUCCAUUGAUGAUUGUUGUCACUCCAUGCAAAAUCCAAACUUAGUCACCACGUUCCUAAAUCUCUACGGUAUCACUGGAUUUCACCUGCCUGAUGCAAAGACAAACAAAAAGAAAGACUGGAAUGCACAUUUCCAUUGGAAAUAAGUUACUCUGUUUCAUGGGGUUUGUGCCAAAUGAACACCACGUUGUGCAUCAAUGCAAAGGACAGUUGUGAAGCAGAGAUUUUGGGCUGUGGAGUCUCCAACACUGCAGGUAUGGAACUGAUCCCAUUCUGAGAGAGGUGGUAGACUGGAUAGCCACUUGAGGUUUCUUCUUCUGCACUCCUUUUAUUGAUUCUUCUACAGUCCAAUAAAAAUUGUUAUUAUAUAAACAUCUGUGAGAGGAGAAGCUGAAACAGCAAGGCAAAAAUGAUAAUCACAAUAAAAAUUGCUGAAGAAAAGGUCUCCUACCAUAGCUCAACUGCCUGAGCAGUCACUAAAGAAAAUAAGUGACUAUUUGUUUUUUUUGCUUUAGAGACAUGAGAAAGGAAACAAGAAAAAACAUAGAAAAGAAAAAAUACUGACUUUCCCAAUUGUAUUAAUAAUCCAUCUUAUUUCACCAGCCAUAUUCAGAUUUCUAUUAAAAAUAGUAUCUUUUUCCCACAAAGAACAGUACUGUAGAUGUGGUGAAAGUGUUCAUUGUGCUUGCUCUUUAAAAAGCACCUUACUAAAUUAAAUUUAAAAAUGAAGGAAAGAAACACUACAGUGCCUCUCAGGUGGAGUCCCUAUGAAUCUUAGGCUGUCACAUUUAACCAUAUACUCCAAGUUAUAUGGAAUUACAAUGAGAACAUAGAAAGAUUUAGUAAGGAUAGAGAGUCCUAGAGAGUGAAAACAGUGCUGAAUGAUGCUGAUAACUGCACUGGAGUUCACCAGACUACUAAGGCUUCUAUGUGAGCAUGCUUCAGAGAGAACAACAAAAGUACAUAGUAAUAUAUGUAGUUUCUACAAUUACUACGUAAAUACUCACUCAUUAAAAUACAGAAAAAAAACCAAACAAAGCAGUGUUAUACCGGAAUGCAAGAUGAGUGAACAAUUUUGCAGAAAGGAUGCCUGACUGAAAAGCAUGAGCCACAUGCUUGCCCUCUGCAAGAGACCUCAGAAUACUCAUGAAAGGUAUAGUAUUUCGAAUUACUGAUCAAAACCUUUAACAUUUUACAUUUGGUCAAAGAAUGGUACUUGAACACUCUGUUCAUGACUUAUUUUUCAGGAAUUCCAAAGCAUGAAAUAGUUUGAAAGACUUCAAAUAUGUGGACCUGCUAAUUGGUUGCAGGCUAUUUUAUUACAUUUGCACUUUUCAAGGCAAAUUUGGAAUGUGUGGUUUGCAGCUGCUGAACUGUGUUCAGAGUUCUGCAAGAUAUCACUUUGGAUUCCUACUUGUAUCAUUUAUGUGUUUAAAUCCAAAAGAAGGAGAAAAAGUGGAGAAGAGUGAAAAACAAAACCACAGUGGAAAAAGAACAUGUCAUGGACACCUUUUGAGUUCAAGCAUGAUCAUCCCAUGCUGUCAAGGCAUUUAUCUAAGCCUUACAGUCUGGCAGAUAGAGUGGUUACACAAAGGGUGUAGAGCUGUUUUCAUCUUUUCAGAAAAAAAAGUAAAGAUUCAGUUCAAUAAAAAAUAUGGAAUAUUACCAGCUGAGUCUUGUAUUUCUCUAAAUGGUUUCAUAAUACAAAAUGAGCAAUAAGGAACACACAG
Non-coding RNA from Cyanistes caeruleus (blue tit), 2404 nucleotides. The record is from RefSeq and is a predicted model, not a curated record. Lineage: Eukaryota; Metazoa; Chordata; Aves; Passeriformes; Paridae.